This 434-nucleotide ribosomal RNA is filed under the name Escherichia coli. RNAcentral's name for it is "bacterial SSU rRNA". It matches the Rfam family "Bacterial small subunit ribosomal RNA", at positions 1 to 431 of the family's 1533-position model. RNAcentral also lists the same sequence under 1 other name. Lineage: Bacteria; Pseudomonadati; Pseudomonadota; Gammaproteobacteria; Enterobacterales; Enterobacteriaceae. The record is from RNAcentral.
AAAUUGAAGAGUUUGAUCAUGGCUCAGAUUGAACGCUGGCGGCAGGCCUAACACAUGCAAGUCGAACGGUAACAGGAAGCAGCUUGCUGCUUCGCUGACGAGUGGCGGACGGGUGAGUAAUGUCUGGGAAACUGCCUGAUGGAGGGGGAUAACUACUGGAAACGGUAGCUAAUACCGCAUAACGUCGCAAGACCAAAGAGGGGGACCUUCGGGCCUCUUGCCAUCGGAUGUGCCCAGAUGGGAUUAGCUAGUAGGUGGGGUAACGGCUCACCUAGGCGACGAUCCCUAGCUGGUCUGAGAGGAUGACCAGCCACACUGGAACUGAGACACGGUCCAGACUCCUACGGGAGGCAGCAGUGGGGAAUAUUGCACAAUGGGCGCAAGCCUGAUGCAGCCAUGCCGCGUGUAUGAAGAAGGCCUUCGGGUUGUAAAGU